This 83-nucleotide transfer RNA is filed under the name Helicosporidium sp. ex Simulium jonesi. Its description in RNAcentral is "tRNA-Tyr". It matches the Rfam family "tRNA". From Rfam's summary of the family: Transfer RNA (tRNA) molecules are approximately 80 nucleotides in length. Their secondary structure includes four short double-helical elements and three loops (D, anti-codon, and T loops). Lineage: Eukaryota; Viridiplantae; Chlorophyta; Trebouxiophyceae; Chlorellales; Chlorellaceae. The record is from RNAcentral.
GGGCAAGUGGCCGAGUGGUUUAAGGCGACAGACUGUAAAUCUGUUGAUUAGGUUCACCGUUGGUUCGAAUCCAACCUUUCCCA